Molecule: small nuclear RNA, 136 nt
Organism: Lontra canadensis (Northern American river otter)
Lineage: Eukaryota; Metazoa; Chordata; Mammalia; Carnivora; Mustelidae
Product: U4 spliceosomal RNA
Exons: 1
Source: RefSeq, a predicted model, not a curated record
AGCUUUGCGCAGUGGCAGUAUCGUAGCCAAUGAGGUUUAUCCGAGGCGCGGUUAUUGCUAAUUAAAGAAGAACUGCUUGAGAUCAGAAACUGACGGGCUCAAACUUGCUCACUGAAUUUGGCUGUUAAGAAGUUAA